RNAcentral lists this ribosomal RNA (253 nucleotides) under uncultured bacterium. RNAcentral describes it as "partial 16S ribosomal RNA". It matches the Rfam family "Bacterial small subunit ribosomal RNA", at positions 524 to 776 of the family's 1533-position model. The record is from RNAcentral.
GACAGAGGCCCCAGGCGUUAGGCGGAAUCACUGGGCUUAAAGCGUGUGUAGGCGGAUCGUUAAGUGUCUUGUGAAAUCCCACGGCUCACCCGUGGAACUGCUGGGCAUACUGGCGAUCUUGGGCCAACUAGGGGCAGCCGGAACAAGCGGUGGAGCGGUGAAAUGCGUAGAUAUCGCUUGGAACGCCGAAGGUGAAAACAGGCUGCUGGGGUUGCGCCGACGCUGAGACACGAAAGCCAGGGGAGCAAACAGG